RNAcentral lists this long non-coding RNA (409 nucleotides) under Pan troglodytes (chimpanzee). RNAcentral describes it as "long non-coding RNA NONPTRT001871". The record is from RNAcentral. Lineage: Eukaryota; Metazoa; Chordata; Mammalia; Primates; Hominidae.
GAAAGGGGCGUGGGGACUGUUACUGAAAAGCGGAGGAAGCUCUCUGGAGAAACGCCGUGAGGCCGCUGGCGGGGCCUUCCUGGUGUCAGGGUUACCGUGCUCUAUGCCCAGGUCUCUGUGGCUGGGCUGCUCCAGCCUGGCGGACAGCAUGCCUUCGCUGCGAUGCCUGUAUAACCCAGGGACUGGCGCACUCACAGCUUUCCAGAAUUCCUCAGAGAGAGAAGACUGUAAUAAUGGCGAACCCCCUAGGAAGAUAAUACCAGAGAAGAAUUCACUUAGACAGACAUACAACAGCUGUGCCAGACUCUGCUUAAACCAAGAAACAGUAUGUUUAGGAAGCACUGCUAUGAAGACUGAGAAUUGUGUGGCCAAAACAAAACUUGCCAAUGGCACUUCCAGUAUGAUUGUG